Molecule: long non-coding RNA, 1473 nt
Organism: Rhineura floridana
Lineage: Eukaryota; Metazoa; Chordata; Lepidosauria; Squamata; Rhineuridae
Exons: 3
Source: RefSeq, a predicted model, not a curated record
UGAGGGCCUUUGGCAGAAAAUUAUCAGUGUCAGAGUUGGUCUGAGGAGGUGACUCAAACUACUUGGGACCAGUAUGUACAGACAACAGGAUGGUCCCACCACAUAUGUUUAAGGCUCAUCCCAUUCAGUAGGCUGCUAUAACCCUACAUUUUGAAGAGAGUGGUGCACCUGUUCCAGAGGUGCAUGCCAGCACAGAAGAAGAUUUUUAUUAAAUGCAUUUUGACUGGAUCCUAACAGAUCACUGGUAUGAAGCCAGUAUCAAACCUUUGGUUAACAUGAAUUGCUCCGGGACCAGGACACAGAUAUGGAACUGGCAUGCCGUUUUCCUGCGUUGCUGCAAUACCAGUGAAGAGGCCUGCUUCAUUCUUUCCCAACUACAGAAGGUGACAAGUCUACUUUGGCCAUCAUCCUGCAGAGGACACCAGUAUUUCUUCUGGCAAGAUGUCCCAUAUUGUGCAAGCUUGCAACUAUUACCACAGUCACUCGGGGGGAGGAGGUUGAUUCUUCUCAUUAUUCAAGUUUCUCCCAUUAAUAAUUUAACUUCAAUUAAUUGAAAUUAACCAAGUUUUUCUGGCUAGCAUCAACAAACCAUAGACAAUUCAGUUAAGCUUCCACUGAGCAUAACCAUCUGGUCUCCUGAGGAUAAACUUUGUAUGAGCCACCCUCUGGUAUGUUUCAAGAUCACAAAAAUUGUUUUAUUCCAUAAUUGCUAGAUAUUGUAUUCUUGAAUGUAAUUGAUACUCAUACAUUGUGCUUUAAGGAUUUGAUUAUCUAACCACUGCAAUUUUUCAUUACAUAACCCAAGUAUUGUUGUUAUGUGCCUUCAAGCUGAUUACGACUUAUGGCGACCCUAUGAAUCACUGACCUCCAACAACAUCUGUCAUGAACCACCCUGUUCAGAUCUUGUAAGUUCUGUGGCUUCCUUUAUGGAAUCAAUCCAUCUCUUGUUUGGCUGCAACUAGGUCUUGUUUUCAGCACUGAAUUUAAAUACUGUGCUAAAUACAAGCCCCCUUGGAAUCAGCUGCCUUCAGGCGCUUCCAGUCGGAGUUUCCGAAUGCAGCUGAUUCUUGCCACAAACAAGGCUUGCUUUUGAUGCUCUGUUUAAAGUUCACAGCACCAAAUAGUUGAGUUUUGGGAUUGCCUCUGCUCAUAUGAAGCUGUCCACAGACUUCAGUCUUUAGAAAUGGCCUGGGUAUGUGUCCCACCAUUAUUAGAUGUCUAUGAGGGACAGGACAUACUUGGCAAUGGUGUCUCUAGGCAAUGGGAUGCCCCAUUACAAAAGGUCCAGCUAGACCCUCUUCAUUUGUAUUCUGGUGACCAUUUAAAUUAGUCUUUCAAAAAACUGCAUACAACUUUAUUUAUUUAGAUAAAUAACUUAUUUAGAUUUAUUUGGAUAAGUCUUUCAAAAAAUUGCUCACAACUUUAUUCUUAUCCUUGUAAUGGUUGCUUAGUGGUUUCAAUAGUUGCUGUUGG